RNAcentral lists this ribosomal RNA (747 nucleotides) under Bacillus cereus. Its description in RNAcentral is "bacterial SSU rRNA". It matches the Rfam family "Bacterial small subunit ribosomal RNA", at positions 37 to 758 of the family's 1533-position model. Lineage: Bacteria; Bacillati; Bacillota; Bacilli; Caryophanales; Bacillaceae. The record is from RNAcentral.
UUGUGCGGGUUCUAUACAUGCAAGUCGAGCGAAUGGAUUAAGAGCUUGCUCUUAUGAAGUUAGCGGCGGACGGGUGAGUAACACGUGGGUAACCUGCCCAUAAGACUGGGAUAACUCCGGGAAACCGGGGCUAAUACCGGAUAACAUUUUGAACCGCAUGGUUCGAAAUUGAAAGGCGGCUUCGGCUGUCACUUAUGGAUGGACCCGCGUCGCAUUAGCUAGUUGGUGAGGUAACGGCUCACCAAGGCAACGAUGCGUAGCCGACCUGAGAGGGUGAUCGGCCACACUGGGACUGAGACACGGCCCAGACUCCUACGGGAGGCAGCAGUAGGGAAUCUUCCGCAAUGGACGAAAGUCUGACGGAGCAACGCCGCGUGAGUGAUGAAGGCUUUCGGGUCGUAAAACUCUGUUGUUAGGGAAGAACAAGUGCUAGUUGAAUAAGCUGGCACCUUGACGGUACCUAACCAGAGAGCCACGGCUAACUACGUGCCAGCAGCCGCGGUAAUACGUAGGUGGCAAGCGUUAUCCGGAAUUAUUGGGCGUAAAGCGCGCGCAGGUGGUUUCUUAAGUCUGAUGUGAAAGCCCCACGGCUCAACCGUGGAGGGUCAUUGGAAACUGGGAGACUUGAGUGCAGAAGAGGAAAAGUGGAAUUCCAUGUGUAGCGGUGAAAUGCGUAGAGAUAUGGGAGGAAACACCAGUGGCGAAGGCGACUUUUCUGGUCUGUAACUGACACUGAGGGCGGCGAAA